Molecule: long non-coding RNA, 2555 nt
Organism: Fukomys damarensis (Damara mole-rat)
Lineage: Eukaryota; Metazoa; Chordata; Mammalia; Rodentia; Bathyergidae
Source: Ensembl
GUGCGUCAGCGGCCGGAAGUGGAGAAUCGGGGGAGGGGCUGAUGCUUCAGGAGAAGAAGGAGGCGGAAGAGAAAGUCGGCCUGCGCCUUCUUUCUUGGGAGAGUCCUGUGCGCCACCUUUGGGGCAGUUUUAAGGCCCUCUUUUGGUUGGCGUUUGGGCAGGAAAUGUCUCAGACGCCUUUAUGGCGUGAGGGUCGAGACACUGAAUAAUCUCUGAGGCGAUGGGGAAAAGAUCCAGCGGGAGGCGGAUUUCCCCACGCCUACUCGGCGCACAGCGAAUUAGGCAUUGAGCGUUCCCAGAGCUCAGCGUGUACUAAAUCUGCACCCUCCAUCCAAGGGGACGAUUUAAGAGUCGUCUCCCAGAAGACAAGAACAUGGAUUUUGGAAGGAAAUCGAGGCAUGAAGUGGAAACAGAAUUCAAAUGUUUCCUACUGUGGAUGGAGAUGUCACGCUGGACUGCAGCGCCCUGGGGGCAUGAGCUCACUGACAUGGAGUUUGGGGCAGGUCCUUCCAGGGGAGCUCUGGUCUGAGGGAGGAGUGGAUGACUUUCUGAAGGAACUGCUGUUGGAAGCCCUGGAAGCUUGCCGGUGUGGCUGUUUACGCACCCAGCCUCCCAGCUUGCUUUCAGUGGCCCAGCCCCUCUGCUGGAGCUGCGGAAGCUUCGUCGCUAACAGGUGGACCUCACCGCCUACUUCCGUCCCUCGAGCCGAAGGCAGCAUAGCAGCUCUGGUGGGUGGGGAGGACCCCCCGCUGGUCUACUUGAAUUCACCUGCUGUUCCUGACCUUAUGCAUCCGCGGGUGACACUUCCUCCCCCACCUGCAGUAACUGAGCCCCAGAUAACCACACGCACACCCUCCAUGAGCGUCCUCUCGCCUUCUCUCACCAGGCCAUCUGAACGGGACCCUGCUCUCUCACGCCCUCGCCCUGGCUUUUGCUCAUUUCAUGGCAGGUGUCACUAGGUGACAUAUACAUCUAUCCCUUACUAUCUGUCUGUCCCAUAGGAAAGCAGUGCCAGGGAGGGAGCAGGUGCUGUUUUUAUCCACUGUGAACAAGGUGAACUGUAUCAGGGGCACUUAAUACAGUAUCUUUUUUCCUAAAUACGUGGGUGAUUAGAUGAAUAGUAAGCGGCAACCCCUUGGAAUCCCUCGGGGAGUCCAGCACUGCUCUAGGAUAAGAGCUACACCUAAAGUGGUUCAUAUUUGUUGUGGGCAGGGAUGAGUCGGUGAGAGGUUCCAGCAAAGCUGCCCUGUGUUGUGAUAGGCGGUGCAGGGUGUCGAAGUGGCACGUGGGAGUGUGUCUAACGCACAGGAUGUGGGGGUGGGCGCUGAGGAGGGGCCCAGAGGGGUAGUGACGGCUGCAUCUGUGCCUGGCGGUUUGCAUGUGUGGACCCUGGCCGUGGGCAAGGCGUGGAGAACCUGCCUGGAGGAUCUGUGCACUGGGGGAAGAGGGUGGACCUUCUUGAGGAGCCCUUCAACUUCUGCUCAGCUGCAUGCAGAGGAGAGGAGGAGGGGCUGUCAAGUCGCUGUGAAACUCCUAGGAGAGGAAGGACAGACAGCAGAGGUAGUCCUGGACACAAGGAGGUGAGACCCCAGGGCACCGUCAGCCUAGUCUACUAGGGCCAGCAGGCGACAGCAUUUGUCCAGGCCAAACCACAGUGAGAAGCAGAGAGGAGAGUGCACAGCCCAGAGGUGUGGACAGAGCGCCUUUAGCACUAUGCACUGUACCACCAAGAGACAUGAUACUCCAGUUGCUCAGCUGUAGCCAGGCUUGGCUCUGACUUCCAGGCAUGGCUGUGGUCACUCAUAGAGGUCCCAAGGUGGGCGGUGUGGGAAGUGUUUUCAGUUCUCCAACAAUGACAAGACCCCAACAAUGAACCAUGUAGCUAAUGAGUCCCUACAUCUCCAAAUCUCUGUCUGUCCUAUCCUGGAUGCAGAAAGGAGAAAGCCGCCUCUUCUAGGCUUAGAGAUGCCUCUCUCCCUCCUGCCAUCUUCCUCUGUGGAAAAGAUGAGAAGGUCUUGUGCUUGUGUGUGGUGGGUCCUUCACUGGGUAACUUUACUUACUGGGCUCUCCCGGAACCAGGGUUUUGUGACCAAGCAGACUGAUCAUCGCCUUACCUCCACUUGGCUGAGUAGUGCCCCCCGCACCUGCAUCCACACAGAAUCUCAGUGUGUGGACUUCUUCGGAAAUAGUCUUUGUAGAUGUAAUAGGUAGGACAAGGUUGUACUGGAUUAGGGUCGGUCCUACUCUAUCGAUGCACAUCCUCAUAAGAAAGGGGAUCAGACACUGAGUCUAAUGCACCAAGGAGGGUACGUGACCACCAGGCCCAGAUGGGAGGGACGCAGUUGCAAGCCAAGGAACACCAAGGGCUCCCAGGAGCCACCAGGAGCUGGGAGAGGCAGACAGUGUCAAUUUUGAACUUCUAGGCCCUGGAAAGGAGCGAAUAAUUCAUGUUGUGUUAAGCCACCUCGCUUGUGGUGAUUUGUUAUAGCAAAUUUUUCACAGCUUUGUGAAAAUUGAUCAAUGAAUAGUUGAAAAAGUUGCCUCCUGUAGUAAAU